CACAGUAAGUUACUCAAAAACAAGAGCAGUGUGUGUGUGUGACAAUGACUGUUUUUCACAUGAUAGCUGGUUUUUAUUCCGCAUGACUGCUGACAAAACUUACCCUGGGAGCUACGGUGGCUGAUGGAGGACACUUUUUGCAGAGGAAUGUCUCUUUUUGGCUCUUCAGUUAUUGUCCACCAGGUCAGGUUACACACCUGGGAAAAAUUGAAGAAGCAAAACCAAGAAAGUUUCAUUUAUUCACUAUGAAACAGUCUGUGGACAACGUGCCAGCAGCGAGAGCAGACACACCCAGGACGUGCUCUAUUAAAACAGGGAUCGUGAAUAUCCAGAGGACUGGUCUUUACUUGCUGGCGAUCGACGCUUUCCUUCUCAUUUCCUCUGCACUUCAUUCUGCAAGUUUUAAUUGUGACAGUCACAGCAGGCCUCUGUCGCUCACAGUCUGUUAUCAUAGAUCAGCAAUGACUUUUAUUGUUUAAAGUGAGAACCCCGGCUCCUAUAGAGGAAGCAAUAAACAAUACACUUCAUGAAGUGAAUUACUGAUACACACAGCUUUGAGCUCACACACAAGGGACACCACACCAAGCACUCUGUGCGCAUGUGUGUGUGUGAGCUGUACACAGCUUGAUCCCAUUUGAGGCUAAUAAAACUAUGCAGCCGUUACGGUGUAAGUGAAAGGACAAACAGAGCAAACAGGGGAAAACCUCAAAAGUCCAGAAUGUUCUGAGGGCAGGUAUCCAGGAUGGAGGGUUAAGCUUCCUUCAGUGUGUAACAACAACUUACAGAUGUGUUUUCUUUCUUUGUUGUAAGUGUGUUUGGAAUAAAAUAGCUUUUUUUAACUACA
Molecule: long non-coding RNA, 844 nt
Organism: Neolamprologus brichardi
Lineage: Eukaryota; Metazoa; Chordata; Actinopteri; Cichliformes; Cichlidae
Source: RefSeq, a predicted model, not a curated record